Long non-coding RNA from Mauremys mutica (yellowpond turtle), 431 nucleotides. RefSeq lists it as uncharacterized. The transcript has 3 exons. The record is from RefSeq and is a predicted model, not a curated record. Lineage: Eukaryota; Metazoa; Chordata; Testudines; Geoemydidae.
CUGCACUUAUCCUGGAAGCUAAUAGCUUCAGAGCCAGGUGAUAUAUUAUUAUUGCGAAUGCAGAGUGCAUUUAAGAAAUGGUUUAGAUACCUGUUGGUACCUAGAUUAACACCUAGUUCCUGCAAAUGUUUGCACAUUACACACAUUUGUUAAACUAGUGUGAGUGAAAGUGGAGACUACUCAUUGACUCAGCCAAAACAAGGAAAUGUCAAAAUGGAUACAUGAAUCCAGCACAAAUACCUUCUUUUCAUCACCAUUCCCACCUUGGAAGGAACAAGCCAGAAAAUCUGCCAGUGGAGUGGAGAUACGAAUCUAACUCUGCGGGCUGCCAGAGACAGAUGCCAUCACGGGACAUUCUAGCGCAAGGCCCAAGAUGUGAUCUACACACUUGUUCACAUUUGCCUAAUGUCUUGGUAAAAGCAUUUAUGUUG